AUUGAACGCUGGCGGAAUGCUAUACACAUGCAAGUCGAACUGCAGCACGGGGCAACCUGGUGGCGAGUGGCGAACGGGUGAGUAAUACAUCGGAACGUGCCCAAUCGUGGGGGAUAACGUAGCGAAAGCUACGCUAAUACCGCAUACGAUCUACGGAUGAAAGCGGGGGAUCGCAAGACCUCGCGCGAAUGGAGCGGCCGAUGGCAGAUUAGGUAGUUGGUGGGGUAAAGGCUCACCAAGCCGACGAUCUGUAGCUGGUCUGAGAGGACGACCAGCCACACUGGGACUGAGACACGGCCAAGACUCCUACGGGAGGCAGCAGUGGGGAAUUUUGGACAAUGGGCGCAAGCCUGAUCCAGCCAUUCCGCGUGCAGGAUGAAGGCCUUCGGGUUGUAAACUGCUUUUGUACGGAACGAAAAGGCUCUGGUUAAUACCCGGGGCUCAUGACGGUACCGUAAGAAUAAGCACCGGCUAACUACGUGCCAGCCGCCGCGGUAA
RNAcentral lists this ribosomal RNA (498 nucleotides) under uncultured bacterium. RNAcentral describes it as "partial 16S ribosomal RNA". It matches the Rfam family "Bacterial small subunit ribosomal RNA", at positions 30 to 523 of the family's 1533-position model. The record is from RNAcentral.